UCGUGAGGCAUGCUGGAGGUAUCAGAAGUGCGAAUGCUGACAUAAGUAACGAUAAAGCGGGUGAAAAGCCCGCUCGCCGGAAGACCAAGGGUUCCUGUCCAACGUUAAUCGGGGCAGGGUGAGUCGACCCCUAAGGCGAGGCCGAAAGGCGUAGUCGAUGGGAAACGGGUUAAUAUUCCCGUACUUGGUGUUACUGCGAAGGGGGGACGGAGAAGGCUAUGUUGGCCGGGCGACGGUUGUCCCGGUUUAAGCGUGUAGGUGUGUGUUCCAGGUAAAUCCGGUUCACUUUAACACUGAGGCGUGACGACGAGGCACUACGGUGCUGAAGCAACAAAUGCCCUGCUUCCAGGAAAAGCCUCUAAGCAUCAGGUAACAUCAAAUCGUACCCCAAACCGACACAGGUGGUCAGGUAGAGAAUACCAAGGCGCUUGAGAGAACUCGGGUGAAGGAACUAGGCAAAAUGGUGCCGUAACUUCGGGAGAAGGCACGCUGACACGUAGGUGAAGUGAUUUACUCAUGGAGCUGAAGUCAGUCGAAGAUACCAGCUGGCUGCAACUGUUUAUUAAAAACACAGCACUGUGCAAACACGAAAGUGGACGUAUACGGUGUGACGCCUGCCCGGUGCCGGAAGGUUAAUUGAUGGGGUCAGCGCAAGCGAAGCUCCUGAUCGAAGCCCCGGUAAACGGCGGCCGUAACUAUAACGGUCCUAAGGUAGCGAAAUUCCUUGUCGGGUAAGUUCCGACCUGCACGAAUGGCGUAAUGAUGGCCAGGCUGUCUCCACCCGAGACUCAGUGAAAUUGAACUCGCUGUGAAGAUGCAGUGUACCCGCGGCAAGACGGAAAGACCCCGUGAACCUUUACUAUAGCUUGACACUGAACAUUGAGCCUUGAUGUGUAGGAUAGGUGGGAGGCUUUGAAGCGUGGACGCCAGUCUGCGUGGAGCCGACCUUGAAAUACCACCCUUUAAUGUUUGAUGUUCUAACGUGGACCCGUUA
RNAcentral lists this ribosomal RNA (994 nucleotides) under Salmonella enterica subsp. enterica serovar Kottbus. RNAcentral describes it as "partial 23S ribosomal RNA". It matches the Rfam family "Bacterial large subunit ribosomal RNA", at positions 1261 to 2238 of the family's 2925-position model. The record is from RNAcentral. Lineage: Bacteria; Pseudomonadati; Pseudomonadota; Gammaproteobacteria; Enterobacterales; Enterobacteriaceae.